Molecule: long non-coding RNA, 4026 nt
Organism: Nothobranchius furzeri (turquoise killifish)
Lineage: Eukaryota; Metazoa; Chordata; Actinopteri; Cyprinodontiformes; Nothobranchiidae
Source: RefSeq, a predicted model, not a curated record
AUCAGUGUUACAUGUAUAGUUGAAUUGUCUUCUGAGGUAAAUGGAACGCACAUUAAGGAUGGUGGUUAACAGCAAAAACAUUGGAGAGUGGAUGCCACAUUUGCGGGGUCUAAGGUUAACAGGGUGCUGUGAUCUAUGGCUUUUGCUCCAUGAAGAUCUGGAGCUCUAACUUCGAGGGAAUGGCGCUCUCUGUUCACAAAUGCCAGAAUGAGCGUGUUCACUUCAGCGUUCAUUGGAUAAAAUACGAAUGAUUUCAGUUCCUGAUCAAAUGAAACAUGAACGAUUGAUCGUUCAUGAGUUUGUUCAGGCACAAUACCGCAUAGUAUCUUGUUGUAAGGAUCUUGUGGAUUUACAUUCUGUUUUUUUCCACUGUGUUUUUAUUAUUGUAGCCUAUCAUAGCACGGGGACUGGCAUUGGAACUCAGCCUUGGCUGUAUGUGGCACCAAGGGCACUUGUCAGGAUGACCCUCAUGCGCUCCGGAGGAAAAAGUGAUACUGAGGAGGCCGAUGUCCAGUGCAGACCCAAGUGUGACUAAUUGGACCAAUCCUAAAACCAGACACAGAGCAAUUUCACAGGUCACCCCUACCCAUUCCUCCUGAAUGGAAUGCUCCGGAACCUUCUUUAUGUGCUCCAGCUCCCCAGGUACUCUUUAGCUGGAACACCUACAGAAGCACAAAGGAAACAGGUGAGCACAAACAAUCAUUUACCACUUUAAAUCCUCAAUAAUCAUACCAACUCUUCUUACAGGUCCAAACACUUCACCCUUUUUAAAUAAACAUUAAAACAAUUGUUAUUGAGCCUGGUUUCAUUUAUCCUACAACCAUAGCAAAAGCCUGUGUAAUGGACUUAUUACAUUACACUGUAAUUGGGCGAGUUUACAUUAGUAUGUACUGUUCAAUACCACAUACUGUCCCUCUUAAGCAAAUGAAAAGAAACUUUGUCAGAUUUGAAGAAAAUAGAUUAUUUAGUUAGUCAUGGUCAUGUGUUUACUCAACAUUCAAAACAAUGUGCCAACCAUGUUGGCGCGAUGAAUCAAUUUUGUUUAUUUUCUGUGUGAUUCAUCCUCCAAAUAUGUGUUAAGUAAAAAACAUUUUUCUCUAAUGUAAUUUCAUUAGGUAAUGUGUGGAUGUUGCAUCAGGUCGUCUGACAUCUUGGUAGUUUAUGUAUAAGUUUUUUGUAUAAUUUUGAGAAUUUCCCUUUCAGAAACAAAAACCUGCUGUCGAUAUAGAUUUUCAGUGUUAACACAGAUUUUAUCCUGAAAUGUAACACUUUUGAAAAUAUAGUCAACAAAAAUCUCCCUGUUGGAAAAGAGAGAUUUUAUCCUUGCAAAACAGCUAUCUGAUUUGUUUGUUAAUGCAACUUGACAACUUGCAAGUUGUCAAGUCAUUUAAACAUUCAUGUUGAAGUUAAGUUAAAAGUUAAAGUCCCAUUAGUUGUCAAACUGAUGUGUGUGCGAAAUUUGUUCUCCGCAUUUGACCCAUCCCCUGGGGGAGCGGUGAGCUGCAGACGCAGACGCGCUCGGGAACCAUUUGGUGGUUUAACUCCCCAAUCCAACCCCUUAAUGCUGAGUGUCAAGCAGGGAGGCAUUGGGUCCCAUUUUUUCAGUCUUUGGUAUGACCCGACCAGGAAGCGAACCCUGAACUCCCAGUCUCAGGGCGGACACUCUACCACUAUAGACCCCUGAGCUGGUCAAACCCAUGUUUGACUUUUACGGUCUUCUGUUGUUUUUAUAUUAAAUGUUUUUGUAUUUUUGAGCCUUUUUGAAGUUAUGACAGUACUUUUUCAUUUAUUUCUGGACCUACUGAGUUAUCUUUUGAGUUUUUCUUUGCUUUUUUGUCCCACAAAUCCCAUUUUACUCACCUGUUUUCCAUCUAUAAUCAGCUCAGCUGUAUAAUCUCUCAGUAAUCACCCUACUUUUCAUUAAAUAUUCCUCAAUGUGGUUGUCACUGUUUGUCUCGUUAUUUUCCUCAAACUAAGUUGGGAUUUUCUUAAUUUUUGAUUCAUGAACUGUUUUUCCUCAUUUUGCUGCCAUGUCAGCUUUUUCAUGUUCAUGAUUUUUUCAACUCUGUUAUGUGCAUCCUUAGACUGGACAUUUAGCUCCUCUUUUCACUCUGUGACUGAUUCAUGCUUUAAAAUGUGAUUGAAUCAUGAUAUAAAUCUAAAAUAUCACUGAAAACAGCUUUCUCCAAUCAAAAUGUUUGAGGACUGUCUAUAAAAUGGCAGGAAUAGGUUUUGGAAGCACAUUGGAGACGAUUAACAAUUAUUUGCAUUGAGGUUUCUUUGUGAGAAUGAAAACAUGAACAGAAACUACCAAAAUGGCCGUUUGGCUGCUUAUUAAAAUGUUCCAUAACCCAUGAAGGCUCUUUCCUGGACUUCACUGAUGUGGGAUGGGAAAUUAACUUGGCCUGCAAUCAUUACAAGAUUGUAUUAGUUUGAGGGAAAAAGGAAAGUGUUCCACAGAACCUGAGCCUUUUGUUGACUAACUUGGGUUGAAACAGUUAUUCUGAGUUUCACACGAGAUAAAAAUGAACAACCUGAAUUUAAGGCCAAUAACCUAUGGUUGCAUUUUAACUGACCAUUCUAGCAUGUUAUUGUUGAAAACUGGGUCCUGAAAAAUGUCUCGGUUCAUUUCUUUUCUGGAGCGAUUUACAGUAAAACUAAUAAAAAUGUUUUCCGGGGAACUUUCUGUACAAUUUAAAGCUACCCAUUCAUCUCUACUAUUUUACUUUAGAAGAUUUUGUUGAAAAGUACAGUGCAGGUUAAAUGUCAGUUAACAGAAAGCAAAGUUUAAAACAAGCUGAAGAAGAUGGGCAUGAGAAUUUCAUCAUAAUUUGGCAGAAUAAGUGAGAAUAUUUACAUCGUAUAUCACCCUGACCCAAUGAAUCACAAUAAAAUGUCUGAUCAAGUCCAUCUGGUGAUGGAUGUAGAUGCUAUUCUGCAGUAAAAUGUGACCAGAAUGGUGGGCAGCCUGGGUAGGAAGAGCCACAAUGUUGUGGCUGUAUAUUUGUGCGACGGUAGCACAGGAGUUGAGUGCUCACCCCAUAACACCACCAGCGUGUGAAUGUGUGUGUGUGAAUGGGUGAAUGACAAACUGAUUCUGUCGUAAAGCGACUUAGGUGGUUCCAGGACUCUAGAAGGUGCUAUAUCAAAUACAGGCCAUUUAUCAAAGAUCCUCUACAUGCAUACACAAACAGUCACACACUCCCUCCCUCAUGCUCACACAUACACAUACAACCAAAGACUUACGUUGUAUGACUGUAUAUGUCAGGUGGGGACUUUGACUCCUCCCUUCUCCUGGGACUUCUUUUGAUGAUAGAUCUUCAUCUCCCCUCUCCCUGCCACACCUGGUGUGGUGUGUGGUGCCUUGGUCUGCCUGGGUCAUGGCUCCCGGUUCAGGGAGUUUAAGAUUUUUGGCAUCUGCCUGACCAAUCCUGGUGGGGUCUGGGUCCCUGGGCUCUGCUGGGUCCCCGACGGGGGUGGUCGUCCCUGGGUCCCGGGCUCGGCAGGCUAGGGGGUGGGAGGCUGCGGGCGGGCCUGUGGGCUUGCCGCCGAUAUCUCCCAGGACUCUGCCGGCUGCUAGUUGUGGCCCCCCAGGGCGAUCCUCUGCACCUCUCGAGGGGGGCGGGGGCUUUUUUGGUCACAGUCUCCCUGGGGUUCCUGUGCUCUGGGGCAGCUCCUGGAUCUCUGGGACUUGGAGCUCCCUCCAUCUCCUGCACAUCUUUAGGGUGCAGAUCUGUGGCCCCUCACACUCUCUAUUGGACGCUCCUAUAGAAAAACCUUACAUAAACAAGCUAAGUGCCCACCCUGUAAUCGGAAGGUUACAAGUGCAAGUCCUGCUCAGACUGUCACUGCUGUUGUGUCUGUGAGCAAGACACUUAAACCACCUUGCCUGCUGGUGGUGUUCGGAGGGACCGGUGGUGCCUGUGUUCGGCAGGCCUCGUCUCUGUCAGUGCUCCCCAGGGCAGCUGUGGCUACGAUGUAGCUCAUCAUCACCACGGUGUAAAUGUGUGUGUGGAAUAACUGAUU